This is a small nuclear RNA of Rhincodon typus (whale shark), 126 nucleotides long. The record is from RefSeq and is a predicted model, not a curated record. Lineage: Eukaryota; Metazoa; Chordata; Chondrichthyes; Orectolobiformes; Rhincodontidae.
GUGUUGUGUGAAAGGAGAGAAGGCUAGCACUCCCCUUGAUAAGGAUGGAAGGGGUCCUAGUGGCCUUACAACACACAAGCAAUUAAGGCAUUGCCACCUACUUAGUGGUAUGUCAUAGAGAUGUAC